CCAGGAGCCACAGUCCAUUGGUGGCAGUUGUCUCAACUGAAAAGCCAUGCAGUCUGGUCCUGACAGAGCAAUAGCCGGUGAACAGGCUGCUGUUAUGAGUGAACAGGAAGGGAAUGGAGAAGGAGGAAGCAAUCCUGGCAAGUUGGAGAUCAGCAACCAGAGCAACGGAGACCUUGCCAUCACCACUCUACAAGAUAUCCCACCAGAUUAUAGCUGCAUGAAGGUGAAGCCAGUGUGGUCUUUGGGGCACAAGAAUGUCCUACAAAGGAGGCAUCUCAGGGGAUGCUGUGUAUGUGAAGGGUAGAGGGUGGAGGGGUUCCCAAGGACAAGACAACAGCAGCUGUUGCACACCUUGCUUGUUGUCAAAGCAAGCAAAGCUGUUGAAUCUUUCUGAGAGAUUUGUCCCUGUUUAUCAAAGGAGAAAAAGAGUCCUUUCUGGCUGGGCCCCAGGCCCACUGCUUGAUCAAAAAGGCUUUCCCUGAAGCCACCCACUUUGGGUGUUCUUGACUUCUGCCCACCUACAUUCCCUGGAAUAGGCUUGUCCUCGGUGCAGUGGGCACCCUCCUCAGAUCCUCUCAGCUGGCGCUUGCCCCCAAGUUCAAAGGAACAAUUAACAACACGAGUUCCCACUACCUAUGAUCACCAUGUUGGAAGGUGGGACACAGAGUCCUCCUCCUUCAAAGAUGUUACAGGGAGACCUGUGGUCAUCUCAACCAGCCCCUGUCUCUCCCCCAACAUGCAACGCCACCAGCUCCUGGUGAUCCUACCCGGGAUGGGACGGUUCUCACCCUCCUCCUACGUCCUCUGUAGAGGGCAGAGAUCCCAGCUGUUGGACUCGAAGAAAAUGACUUAACCUCUUAGCCUGUUACUUCAGCCACAAAAUUGUUAAAGGGCCUUCUACCGCA
Neofelis nebulosa (Clouded leopard) is the source of this 905-nucleotide long non-coding RNA. RefSeq lists it as uncharacterized. The transcript is spliced from 2 exons. Lineage: Eukaryota; Metazoa; Chordata; Mammalia; Carnivora; Felidae. The record is from RefSeq and is a predicted model, not a curated record.